CAUCUGGAGAUCUUGUUAAAAUGCAGAUUCUAUUCUGGCAGGCCUGAGAUGCUGCAGUUCUGGGAGCUCCUGGGUGAUG
This is a microRNA precursor of Cricetulus griseus (Chinese hamster), 79 nucleotides long. Lineage: Eukaryota; Metazoa; Chordata; Mammalia; Rodentia; Cricetidae. The record is from Ensembl.